Molecule: ribosomal RNA, 492 nt
Filed under: uncultured bacterium
Lineage: Bacteria
Description: partial 16S ribosomal RNA
Rfam family: Bacterial small subunit ribosomal RNA
Source: RNAcentral
AUUGAACGCUGGCGGCAUGCUUUACACAUGCAAGUCGAACGGUAACAGGCCUUCGUGUGCUGUCGAGUGGUGACCGGGUGGGUAAUGCAUCGGAACGUGCCCAGAGGUGGGGGAUAACGCAGCGCAAGCUGUGCUAAUACCUCAUGUGAUCUGAGGAUGAAAGCGGGGGACCAGGCAGCAAUGUUUGGCCUCUGGCCUCUGGAGCGGCCGAUGUCAGAUUAGGUAGUUGGUGGGGUAAAGGCCUACCAAGCCGACGAUCCGUAGCUGGUCUGAGAGGACGAUCGGCCACACUGGAACUGAGACACGGCCCAGACUCCUACGGGAGGCAGCAGUGGGGAAUUUUGGACAAUGGGCGCAAGCCUGACCCAGCAAUGCCGCGUGCGGGAAGAAGGCCUUCGGGUUGUAAACCGCUUUUGUACGGAACGAAAAGGCUCUGGCUAAUACCUGGGGCUGAUGACGGUACCGUAAGAAUAAGCACCGGCUAACUACGUG